GACGAACGCUGGCGGCGUGCUUAACACAUGCAAGUGGAGCGACGAAGCGGGCUUCGGCCCGUGGCAGAGCCGCGAACGGGUGAGUAACACGUGGGUAACCUACCCUGAUGACCGGGACAACCCGAGGAAACUCGGGCUAAUACCGGAUGUUCUGGGCCCUUUUGAGGGGGUUCAGUAAAGAUAGCUUCGGCUUUCGCAUUGGGACGGGCCCGCGGCCCAUUAGCUUGUUGGUGGGGUAAUGGCCUACCAAGGCUGCGAUGGGUAGCUGGUCUGAGAGGACGAUCAGCCACACUGGGACUGAGACACGGCCCAGACUCCUACGGGAGGCAGCAGUGGGGAAUCUUGCGCAAUGCGCGAAAGCGUGACGCAGCAACGCCGCGUGGGGGAAGAAGGCCUUCGGGUUGUAAACCCCUUUCAGUUGGGACGAAGCUUCCAGGGUUAAUAGCUUUGUGGAGUGACGGUACCUUCAGAAGAAGCCCCGGCUAACUACGUGCCAGCCGCCGCCGUAACAC
RNAcentral lists this ribosomal RNA (512 nucleotides) under uncultured bacterium. RNAcentral describes it as "bacterial SSU rRNA". It matches the Rfam family "Bacterial small subunit ribosomal RNA", at positions 28 to 526 of the family's 1533-position model. The record is from RNAcentral.